RNAcentral lists this microRNA (24 nucleotides) under Drosophila ananassae. RNAcentral's name for it is "Dan-Mir-375_5p* (star (passenger))". The record is from RNAcentral. Lineage: Eukaryota; Metazoa; Arthropoda; Insecta; Diptera; Drosophilidae.
ACUUGGGCCAAGGGAAUUCAAACU